Mauremys reevesii (Reeves's turtle) is the source of this 2115-nucleotide long non-coding RNA. RefSeq lists it as uncharacterized. The record is from RefSeq and is a predicted model, not a curated record. The transcript has 3 exons. Lineage: Eukaryota; Metazoa; Chordata; Testudines; Geoemydidae.
UUAGCUGUAGCUCCAUGAGGACAAGUAACCAGGGCAGCUGCUUUACAAAGUCCAUGUGUGGGUUGGAAAAAGCUGAGCCCCAGGACCAGAGAGUAGGCUUCUUUUUCCCUAACUCUGAGGCAUUUUGCAGCAGCCUUCAGAAAAUCUUGAAACUGGAUGGAGGUUAAGGGAUUAUUUUGGGCUCAGCCAGCCCCGCUCCACUACACCAGCAGCAAAAGCUCCGUCUGCUGGAGGAAUUAAAAUGCAGGGAUUAGCUCAUUUGGGUGGCAGAGCUGGAGGGGAAGGCCUUGGAUUGAGCUGGCCACUGGAGGGGACAAGAGGAAGAAGCCCAGGGAGGACAGCCUUAAGCAGCCUUGGGAGCCAACCUACUAGAAGCCACGCUCCUCAACCAGACCCCGAGAGAGGACCAUUACAAUAGCUUUUGAGAAAAAUAUUAUUUUGAUAACUUGUCUUGAACAAUGAUUUUUUAAAAAAAUUAUCUAAUCUAAGAAGGUUGUAUUAAUUUGUUUAAACAAAGUUUACCUUUAAUUUCUACUUGUUUCUGUGAGGAUGCUGUUAUAAAAUGCCAACCAAGUAUAUGCCCAAACCUUCAAGGUGUGGGCUAACACACAGAUAAAGGGUCAAUUUCUUAGCGUAAAUCAACAUAACCAAUGGGAUUAUGUUAGUUUUCCAAAAGCGGAGAAUCUGGCUGCAAAAUUAUAAUAAUAAUGAUUAUUCUAAACUUUCUCCAAAAUUUGGCAGCAGUUUGGGGUGAUUCAAUUUGGGGGGAGGGGUCAGAUUAAAAUGCUUUAAAGAGGCCUGAUGUUCAGAGAAUGGGUGGUCAGUGCUUUUUGAAAAUCAGGCUUAUUUAAGGUGCCUCAGUCUAGGUACACAAGAAUUGCCAGACCAGCUGGCUAUCUUUAUAGGCCCCCUAGUCAGAGAAGCCCCGCCCCCUAAUCAGGGCUGUUUCUUUCCCAGCACACUGCCCCUAGCUGCUUCUACACAUACCUUCUCCUCCAACAGAACUCCUUGAGCAAACCCCUACCAGUGCUUGCAAAAGAACAAAAUCCCCACACUGGGUCACUGUAGUAGCUUUAGCACAGGAGUCUCACAGUAAGUCUGAAGUUCAGCCUGGCCUUCCCGUUCUCUAUGGUGGCCAGAGCCAGGACACAAAAGGGACUUCAGGGUCCUUUCAGCCUCUCACUCUGCCUCUCAGCGCCAUUGGAAUUUGUGUUGUAUUUUGGGUCGGUGGGAGUAGCCCUCUAGUGACUAAGACCAUGUCUACACUAGCGAGCUGAUAGAAGCACAGCUGUACUGAUCCAGUUGCACUGCUGAAGAUCACUCAGGUAGCCACUCUAUGCCAACAGAAAGCUGUCUCGUUGACAUAAUAAAACCACCCCAACAAGUGGCAGUUGCUGUGUCAGUGGGAGAAGCUCUCCUGCCGACAUAAUGCUGUACACACUACCACCUAUGCUGGCAAAACUGUCGCUCGGGGAUGUGUGAGUGACACACGUUUUGCCAACAUAGGCCAUGUCUGCACUACCACUUAACUUGUGCUACAUGCACCCUCCAUCCUGUAAAGCCCUGCCCACAUACUUAAUUUGACACACUGUCAGUAGUUCUAUUGACUUCAGAGGAUCAGAGCGCUAGAAUUCUUAACCUAUUACACACUUCUGGGCCACUUCCUGUUUUGGCCUCUUCCAACUUGAGCCUGGAGCCUGUUUAGAUGUUUCACGAAAUAGCACCAAAUGAGCCAGAGAAUGAUGACCAGAUUUACUCUUACACUAGUAAAAAUCCUCAGUGGCUCAAGUUGGUGAGUGACAUGAGAGCAGGACUCGACUCUGGAAGUGAAAUGUCUUUGUGUUGCUUGAACUGUCUAUAAAUGAUUCUAUAUAAAAAAAUGGCAUUCCUUUAUUGUGAAUCUAGAGUAGUUUAGCUGAUGGUAAAUACCUGGAAAAGGCUAAAUAUUUAUAGGGGUGUUUAUUCAACACUGUGUGGAUUUUAAAUGGAAAACACUUUGUUUUAGUUAGUGAUAGCGUCAAACCACAAUUUUCCUUGUUCUGUUGGCAUUCAGCUAUCUGAUUCAGUUUUACCUAAAUUAGUUCAUUUAAAUAAAAGCAGUUUGAAUAUACAGGA